RNAcentral lists this ribosomal RNA (253 nucleotides) under uncultured bacterium. RNAcentral describes it as "partial 16S ribosomal RNA". It matches the Rfam family "Bacterial small subunit ribosomal RNA", at positions 524 to 776 of the family's 1533-position model. The record is from RNAcentral.
UACGUAGGGGGCUAGCGUUGUCCGGAAUCAUUGGGCGUAAAGCGCGUGUAGGCGGCUCGGUAAGUCCGCUGUGAAAGUCGGGGGCUCAACCCUCGGAUGCCGGUGGAUACUGUCGGGCUAGAGUACGGAAGAGGCGAGUGGAAUUCCUGGUGUAGCGGUGAAAUGUGCAGAUAUCAGGAGGAACACCGAUGGCGAAGGCAGGUCUCUGGGCUGACACUGACGCUCAUGCACGAAAGCGUGGGGAGCAAACAGG